Molecule: long non-coding RNA, 406 nt
Filed under: Physcomitrium patens
Lineage: Eukaryota; Viridiplantae; Streptophyta; Bryopsida; Funariales; Funariaceae
Description: long non-coding RNA (PPAT_LNC010506)
Source: RNAcentral
GAUGAAAAUCUCCAUUCCUAUAGGCCAAAAAUCAUGCCCUAAUGGAUUUCAAGGAGGCUGCCCUAGGCCUUAUUAGGAAUUAGGAUUAUUUUUUUGAAGCCAUUUGAACUUUGGAGGCUAGAAUCAAUAAUUUUAGGUUUUUAGCUAUGGUUUUGGUACAAAUUUUUUAUGAUUUGGAGUUUAUAUGAAAGAGGUAUGGGUGCUCAAAGUUAAGGGGAUGAUUUUGUAUCUACUAUCACUCUUUUGAACAUAACGCACACGUACAGAAAGUAAUGAAGGAUCGGCAAUUAGAGUUGAAGAGAGCAUUUGUUUGGCUAUACUUUUUAUAUAUUGCUUGAUGAAUUUUAAGUUAGAAUAUAGGAGAUAUUAGAAGUUGAAGUCAGGACUUCAAGUCUAAGGAUAGUAA